RNAcentral lists this ribosomal RNA (510 nucleotides) under uncultured bacterium. Its description in RNAcentral is "partial 16S ribosomal RNA". It matches the Rfam family "Bacterial small subunit ribosomal RNA", at positions 28 to 507 of the family's 1533-position model. The record is from RNAcentral.
GACGAACGCUGGCGGCGUGCUUAACACAUGCAAGUCGAACGAAGAGCGAUGGAAGCUUGCUUCUAUCAAUCUUAGUGGCGAACGGGUGAGUAACGCGUAAUCAACCUGCCCUUCAGAGGGGGACAACAGUUGGAAACGACUGCUAAUACCGCAUACGAUCUAACCUCGGCAUCGAGGAUGGAUGAAAGGUGGCCUCUAUUUAUAAGCUAUCACUGAAGGAGGGGAUUGCGUCUGAUUAGCUAGUUGGAGGGGUAACGGCCCACCAAGGCGAUGAUCAGUAGCCGGUCUGAGAGGAUGAACGGCCACAUUGGGACUGAGACACGGCCCAGACUCCUACGGGAGGCAGCAGUGGGGAAUCUUCCGCAAUGGACGAAAGUCUGACGGAGCAACGCCGCGUGAGUGAUGACGGCCUUCGGGUUGUAAAGCUCUGUUAAUCGGGACGAAAGGCCUUCUUGCGAAUAGUUAGAAGGAUUGACGGUACCGGAAGAGAAGGCCACGGCUAACUACGUG